AGAGUUUGAUCCUGGCUCAGGAUGAACGCUAGCGGCAGGCUUAACACAUGCAAGUCGAGGGGCAUCGGGAGGGAAGCUUGCUUUCCUUGCCGGCGACCGGCGCACGGGUGAGUAACACGUAUGCAACCUGCCCUCUUCAGGGGGACAACCUUCCGAAAGGGAGGCUAAUCCCGCGUAUAUCGGUUUCGGGCAUCCGAGAUCGAGGAAAGAUUCAUCGGAAGAGGAUGGGCAUGCGGCGCAUUAGCUUGACGGCGGGGUAACGGCCCACCGUGGCGACGAUGCGUAGGGGUUCUGAGAGGAAGGUCCCCCACACUGGUACUGAGACACGGACCAGACUCCUACGGGAGGCAGCAGUGAGGAAUAUUGGUCAAUGGGAGAGAUCCUGAACCAGCCAAGCCGCGUGAGGGAAGACGGCCCUAUGGGUUGUAAACCUCUUUUGUCGGAGAGCAAAACCCGGGACGUGUCCCGGACUGCGUGUAUCCGAAGAAAAAGCAUCGGCUAACUCCGUG
This 509-nucleotide ribosomal RNA is filed under the name uncultured Bacteroidales bacterium. Its description in RNAcentral is "bacterial SSU rRNA". It matches the Rfam family "Bacterial small subunit ribosomal RNA", at positions 8 to 507 of the family's 1533-position model. The record is from RNAcentral. Lineage: Bacteria; Pseudomonadati; Bacteroidota; Bacteroidia; Bacteroidales.